AGUGAACGCUGGCGGUAGGCCUAACACAUGCAAGUCGAACGGCAGCACAGGAGAGCCUGCUCUCUAGGUGGCGAGUGGCGGACGGGUGAGGAAUACAUCGGAAUCUGCCCAGUCGUGGGGGAUAACGUAGGGAAACUUACGCUAAUACCGCAUACGACCUUCGGGUGAAAGAGGGGGAUCGCAAGACCUCUCGCGAUUGGAUGAGCCGAUGUCGGAUUAGCUAGUUAGCGGGGUAAUGGCCCACCAAGGCGACGAUCCGUAGCUGGUCUGAGAGGAUGAUCAGCCACACUGGAACUGAGACACGGUCCAGACCCCUACGGGAGGCAGCAGUGGGGAAUAUUGGACAAUGGGCGCAAGCCUGAUCCAGCCAUACCGCGUGGGUGAAGAAGGCCUUCGGGUUGUAAAGCCCUUUUGUUGGGAAAGAAAUCUUUCAGGCUAAUACCCUGGGAGGAUGACGGUACCCAAAGAAUAAGCACCGGCUAACUUCGU
Molecule: ribosomal RNA, 489 nt
Filed under: uncultured bacterium
Lineage: Bacteria
Description: partial 16S ribosomal RNA
Rfam family: Bacterial small subunit ribosomal RNA
Source: RNAcentral